This 436-nucleotide long non-coding RNA is filed under the name Pan troglodytes (chimpanzee). Its description in RNAcentral is "long non-coding RNA NONPTRT004246". The record is from RNAcentral. Lineage: Eukaryota; Metazoa; Chordata; Mammalia; Primates; Hominidae.
CGAGGGUCGGCGUCACAGUGAGAGAGCCAUGAUGGAGGACGGGGUCACCCUGCUUGCCCAACGCGGGGAGCUCCGUCAUACAGAAUCCCAAAGAGCCACGAUCCCAGGAAGCCGGCUUGUGCAGAGGAAAGAACCGCACCUCGUUGUCAGAACAACCCCAGCUCUGCCACCUACACCUUGUGUGACCUUGGGCAAGUCAGAGAAACUUCUCAGGUGCACAAUCUCCUCACGCUCCUAGUUUCCAAGCCCACACACCUGAGGGUCAAUGUCCCUUAUUGCACCCCCACCCCAUACCGACUCCAUCAGCGAGUCCUGUUUGUUCUUGCCCCAAGUAUCUCUCCUGUCUGCCCAUUCCCUGCAUCUCCCCCGUCACCACCCCGGGCCAGUCCCCGUUACCCGCACCUGGAGGUCUGCACCAGCCCCACCUGCACUCCGG